UGAAUACGAGACGCUACGGCGUUGAAGCAAUCUAUGUCAUACUUCCAAGAAAGCUCGCAAUGUCAUAAACAAAUAAUGCCUGUACCAUAACCGACACAGGUGGGUAGGUAGAGUAUACUAAGGGGCGCGAGAUAACUCUCUCUAAGGAACUCGGCAAAAUGACUCCGUAACUUCGGGAGAAGGAGUGCCUUAUUUAUAAGGUUGCAAUAACAAGAUCCAAGCAACUGUUUAUCAAAAACACAGGUCUCCACUAAGUCGUAAGACGAUGUAUGGGGGCUGACGCCUGCCCAGUGCCAGAAGGUUAAAGAAGUUGGUUAGCAUUCGCGAAGCUGAUAACUGAAGCCCUGGUGAACGGCGGCCGUAACAAUAACGGUCCUAAGGUAGCGAAAUUCCUUGUCGGGUAAGUUCCGACCCGCACGAAAGGCGUAAUGAUUUGGAUACUGUCUCGGAGAGGGGCUCGGUGAAAUAGACUUGUCUGUGAAGAUGCGGACUACCUGCACCUGGACAGAAAGACCCUAUGAAGCUUUACUGUAACCUGAAAUUGAAAUUGGACUUUAUUUGCGCAGUAUAGGUGGGAGGCGUUGAGAGUAUUCUUGCGGGAAUAUUGGAGCCAUCAGUGAGAUACCACUCUUGUAAUGUUAGAUUUCUAACUUUGUAUCAUGAUCUGGUCAAAGAACAGUUUCAGGCGGGCAGUUUGACUGGGGCGGUCGCCUCCCAAACGGUAACGGAGGCGUACAAGGGUUUCCUCUGAACGGGUAGAAAUCGUAUCUAGAGUGUAAAGGCAUAAGGAAGUUUGACUGUGAGACCUACAAGUCGAGCAGGGACGAAAGUCGGUCUUAGUGAUCUGACGGUGCUGAGUGGAAAGGCCGUCACUCAACGGAUAAAAGUUACUCUAAGGAUAACAGGCUGAUCUCCCCCAAGAGUUCACAUCGACGGGGAGGUUUGACACCUCGAUGUCGGCUCAUCGCAUCCUGGGGCGGUAGUACGUCCCAAGGGUUGGGCUGUUCGCCCAUGAAAGCGGUACGCGAGCUGGGUUCAGAACGUCGUGAGACAGUUCGGUCCAUAUCCGGUGUAGGCGUUAGAAUAUUGAGAGGAGCCUUCUCUAGUACGAGAGGACCGAGAAGGACAUACCUCUGGUGUACCAGUUAUCGUGCCAACGGUAAACGCUGGGUAGCUAUGUAUGGAGAGGAUAACCGCUGAAAGCAUCUAAGUGGGAAGCCCACCUCAAGAUAAGUAUUCUCA
This 1242-nucleotide ribosomal RNA is filed under the name metagenome. RNAcentral describes it as "bacterial LSU rRNA". It matches the Rfam family "Bacterial large subunit ribosomal RNA", at positions 1564 to 2816 of the family's 2925-position model. The record is from RNAcentral.